Molecule: transfer RNA, 77 nt
Filed under: Anaerolineae bacterium SM23_ 63
Lineage: Bacteria; Bacillati; Chloroflexota; Anaerolineae
Also listed under: 1 other name
Description: tRNA-Lys
Rfam family: tRNA
About the family: Transfer RNA (tRNA) molecules are approximately 80 nucleotides in length. Their secondary structure includes four short double-helical elements and three loops (D, anti-codon, and T loops). Further hydrogen bonds mediate the characteristic L-shaped molecular structure. tRNAs have two regions of fundamental functional importance: the anti-codon, which is responsible for specific mRNA codon recognition, and the 3' end, to which the tRNAs corresponding amino acid is attached (by aminoacyl-tRNA synthetases). tRNAs cope with the degeneracy of the genetic code in two manners: having more than one tRNA (with a specific anti-codon) for a particular amino acid; and 'wobble' base-pairing, i.e. permitting non-standard base-pairing at the 3rd anti-codon position.
Source: RNAcentral
GGCCCGCUAGCUCAAUCUGGCAGAGCAGCUGACUCUUAAUCAGUAGGUUACAGGUUCGAGUCCUGUGCGGGUCACCA